AGUGAACGCUGGCGGUAGGCCUAACACAUGCAAGUCGAACGGCAGCACAGGAGAGCUUGCUCUCUGGGUGGCGAGUGGCGGACGGGUGAGGAAUACAUCGGAAUCUACUCUGUCGUGGGGGAUAACGUAGGGAAACUUACGCUAAUACCGCAUACGACCUGCGGGUGAAAGCAGGGGAUCUUCGGACCUUGCGCGAUUGAAUGAGCCGAUGUCGGAUUAGCUAGUUGGCGGGGUAAAGGCCCACCAAGGCGACGAUCCGUAGCUGGUCUGAGAGGAUGAUCAGCCAAACUGGAACGGAGACACGGUCCAGACUCCUACGGGAGGCAGCAGUGGGGAAUAUUGGACAAUGGGCGCAAGCCUGAUCCAGCCAUACCGCGUGGGUGAAGAAGGCCUUCGGGUUGUAAAGCCCUUUUGUUGGGAAAGAAAUCCAGCUGGCUAAUACCCGGUUGGGAUGACGGUACCCAUAGAAUAAGCACCGGCUAACUUCGUGCCAGCCGCCGCCGCGG
Molecule: ribosomal RNA, 506 nt
Filed under: uncultured bacterium
Lineage: Bacteria
Description: partial 16S ribosomal RNA
Rfam family: Bacterial small subunit ribosomal RNA
Source: RNAcentral